Bombyx mori (domestic silkworm) is the source of this 1266-nucleotide long non-coding RNA. RefSeq lists it as uncharacterized. The record is from RefSeq and is a predicted model, not a curated record. NCBI's taxonomy places the organism in Eukaryota, Metazoa, Arthropoda, Insecta, Lepidoptera, Bombycidae. The transcript has 2 exons.
GUCACUUUAUCUACUUUAAAAACGUUGACUAUUAUUUGUUAUUAAUAUUAGUAUCUAAAAAAUAAUUAGUCUACAUCAAAGUCAUGAAAAUGAACAUUUUAAUUGAUAACCAAGAAAACAUGUAAAUGAAAUAACUUUCAAUGUAACUUAAAUAGCAUUCUCGGAGAAGUUUAUCGUAUCAUUCAUCGUUAUUUAUAAAACCAUCUGGUCGGAGUUAUUAAAUCGUCGAAAAGAGCAAUUAUCUUCUUCUAAAUCAGAGUGGUCAUGGUCAUCAUGUUGGAAGAGGCAAACUUGACGCAUCUUAGGAAGUCUCGUCCGCUCCCUGCUUGAGAUCCUCCUGUAGCAUUUUAAGGGAUCUCCCACUGAAGUCCUGAUUUGGUCAGUCCACUGCAUUUGCAACCUUCAGUGCGGCCUUGUGUCGUCAAGCUUUUCUUGAAUGACGACGCGUUUUACGGACUGGUUAUCUCUUCGUGAAACGAAUCCAUCUGAGACAUAUUAAUCUGAAAUUAAUAGUAAAUAUCUUUAUGUAUUUUUUGUACUCAAGUUCCUGAUUCCAAGCACCUUAGUUCCCUUAACUUCUAUCUCGAGUAACAAUGAUGAGCGUUGUGAGUUUGUACGCGUAGCUUCACCGUCAUUUUUUAGCCCCGUGUGUUUCGAUUUCAAGGAAGGGACAACCGUUGCAACCAAUAUAUAACAUUUUAAGUCUGUCAAUUUAAAAAAAAAUGAAGAUCUGAAAUUUGAAGUUGAAACUAUUUACAAAUGCUACCAAUGAAAUGUGUUCACUUUUAGUUUAUUAAUUAACAUUACUUUUAAUAUUAGCUUAGCCAAAUUAAUAGCUAAAUUUGGCUACCAGUAUCAGUAUCAGCAAAUAUCAACAUUUUUUGUCAUUUAACUUUGUGUUAUUAAGUUCUCCAAAAAUGUGAAAGUAGAAUCGUGAAGAAAUAAGCGAAUUAAUUAUUGAGAAACAUUUUUACGAUUCGUCACAAGUGUUGAGUUUCACAGCCGAUACGUCACCCUAAUUGCUACAAAAUGUUUCAUACGCACAACAAUGCAAAUUGUAUUUCGUCAGCGACACUUUAAGAAUGUAAUUAGAGAGGGAGAGAGAGAGAGAGAGAAAGUGACGAGAAUGAUUUCCAAUGAAAUACGUGAAUACUUGAACACUUUAAUAUUAUGUCGUUUUCAUACGGGAAUUCUGAAGAGUUACUCGCAAUUUUCCCGAAAAUAAAUAAAUAAAGUAAUUGUGUAAAUAAAUGAAAGUUUUUAGAA